AUUGAACGCUGGCGGCAGGCCUAACACAUGCAAGUCGAGCGGAUGAAGGGAGCUUGCUCCUGGAUUCAGCGGCGGACGGGUGAGUAAUGCCUAGGAAUCUGCCUGGUAGUGGGGGAUAACGUCCGGAAACGGGCGCUAAUACCGCAUACGUUCUGAGGGAGAAAGUGGGGGAUCUUCGGACCUCACGCUAUCAGAUGAGCCUAGGUCGGAUUAGCUAGUUGGUGGGGUAAAGGCCUACCAAGGCGACGAUCCGUAACUGGUCUGAGAGGAUGAUCAGUCACACUGGAAGUGGGACACGGUCCAGACUCCUACGGGAGGCAGCAGUGGGGAAUAUUGGACAAUGGGGGAAAGCAUGAUCCAGCCAUGCGGCGUGUGUGAAGAAGGUGUUCGGAGUGGAAAGAACUUUAAGUUGGGAGGAAGGGCAGUAAGUUAAUACGUUGCUGUUUUGACGGUAACAACAGAAGAAGCACCGGCUAACUACGUG
Molecule: ribosomal RNA, 484 nt
Filed under: uncultured bacterium
Lineage: Bacteria
Description: partial 16S ribosomal RNA
Rfam family: Bacterial small subunit ribosomal RNA
Source: RNAcentral